CCUACUACACCUUUAAGACGUCGACACUGUGCGAAUUGGGAGUGGGUUUAUGUUCGACAGUAAAAUCACAACACUUCGCAAUGGGAAAACUGUGAAGAGGACCCUCUGCGCUGACCGCUAGUUAUAGAGAAGGUUUGAAAUAAUGUGCACUAAAAGGCUAUAUUGCCAUAAUAACUACGUCUGAAAACAAGGGUCUUGGUCUGCACACGUCAACACAUUUUGUGACAGUUUCCAGGGCUGACAUGUUUACGUUUUGAUUUGCCUCUAGAAUGUUGUAUUUUAAUCGUCUCUGACAUUUUACAGAAAUGUAUUCCCGAUCAGCAGGGACAUUGUGCUGCUAAAGUGUGAAAUAUGUUUACAGUUGAUUUUCUUGAGUUUUGUUAUCUACCACAUUCUCCAUUUUAACUCCGUCUUUAGCCAGCGACAACGAUAUUUAUCUCAUCGACAAGAAAAUAUCUGCCGGUAUCCUGCAUGUUGUACUGUUGUGGAAGCAAGGACAAGGAGAAGCAGCGCCCGGACGCUGCAAAGGUGUCGAGAAUUCUAGAGACAGAGACAGAGAAAAACCGAAAGAGCCAAGAAAGCGCACCUCAACCACUGGACAUGUACGGAAUAGCGGCAAUGCCCGAGCUUCUACCACCCUCUGGCGUCCUCCAGCCCAGCUCAGUAAUCCCACUCGAGUCGGGUGAGGUGCCUGGUUUGUGGAAUGGAUUCAACAGGGGUGUGCUGAGUUUUGACUCCCCCCAGCGGAGACGAGGCCAACGGGCCCCGAAGUUAGGGCAAAUAGGACGCUCGAAGAGAGUGGUUAUAGAGGAUGACGACUUGGAUGAUGUCAUGAAACACAAUGGCCUCCCCAUAUCAAUCAAUAUCUCUCCUGUUGCCUGAACAACUCUGAUAGUGUCCAGACCUCAAGAGGCUAUUGUGCUCAUUUGUGAAAUUCUGAAGUGUGUACCACUUGUUUCUGGACAAUGUCCAAUUCAGGUGCCCAUUGCAAAGUUUGCAAUAGUAGCAUGCGCAUCACAUGUAGUUUAGCUCUUCCUGGACACAGGAAGGUCAGUGUCCCAAGGAAAUAGAAGUAAAAAACAGUGCAUCUUUGCUUCAGCUGCUGUUCUGGUGUUGAUGGGGGGGACUUUGUGUCCUGAGGAGAGGGGAGCAAUUAGGAUAGAUUUGGGCCUGGACAGGCUGAAACAUAAGCACACAAGAGAAGGCCCUACCCAUCAAGACCUGCCCCUUCAAAAUGAGUGGACCUGUUUGUUUGUUGUUCAGUCUUUAGUGUCUAUAUUUUAAACACUCCAUCCAAGAUGUUAUUUUAAUUUGUGUCAAUCUCCUAUAUCUAAUUGAGAAAACAGCUACUCAUAGUGCUGGGCAGUGUUUUCACAAUAUUAUUUAUUUUACAUUAUGUACGCUUUUUCAGUGUUUCACAUAUGUUGACAACACUUAUUUUAGUUUUUGACAGUUGACAACACUGUCUCGUUUUGGUGCAAACUAAUUGUAAAAUCUGUUGUAAAACGUGUUAGAUAAACUGAAGGCUUUAAUUUGCCAUUGUAACGUCACAA
This is a long non-coding RNA of Oncorhynchus masou masou (cherry salmon), 1553 nucleotides long. RefSeq lists it as uncharacterized. The record is from RefSeq and is a predicted model, not a curated record. The transcript is spliced from 2 exons. Lineage: Eukaryota; Metazoa; Chordata; Actinopteri; Salmoniformes; Salmonidae.